This 495-nucleotide ribosomal RNA is filed under the name uncultured bacterium. RNAcentral describes it as "partial 16S ribosomal RNA". It matches the Rfam family "Bacterial small subunit ribosomal RNA", at positions 28 to 523 of the family's 1533-position model. The record is from RNAcentral.
GAUGAACGCCAGCGGGAGGCCUAACACAUGCAAGCCGAGCGGUAUUUGUCUUUCGGGACAGAGAGAGCGGCGUACGGGUGCGGAACACGUGUGCAACCUGCCUUUAUCAGGGGGAUAACCUUUCGAAAGGAAGAUUAAUACCCCAUAAUAUAUUAGAUUGCAUCAUUUGAUAGUGAAAACUCCGGUGGAUAGAGAUGGGCACGCGCAAGAUUAGCUAGUUGGUAGGGUAACGGCCUACAAAGUCAGUGAUCUUUAGGGGGCCUGAGAGGGUGAUCCCCCACACUGGUACUGAGACACGGACCAGACUCCUACGGGAGGCAGCAGUUAGGAAUAUUGGACAAUGGGUUAGCGCCUGAUCCAGCCAUCCCGCGUGAAGGACGACUGCCCUAUGGGUUGUAAACUUCUUUUGUACAAAGAUAAACCUUUCCACGUGUGGAAAGCUGAAGGUACUGUACGAAUAAGCACCGGCUAACUCCGUGCCAGCCGCCGCGGUAA